CGUGGCGGACGGGUGAGUAACGCGUGGGUAACCUGCCUCAUACAGGGGGAUAACGGUUAGAAAUGACUGCUAAUACCGCAUAAGCGCACAGUACCGCAUGGUACGGUGUGAAAAACUCCGGUGGUAUGAGAUGGACCCGCGUCUGAUUAGCUAGUUGGUGGGGUAACGGCCCACCAAGGCGACGAUCAGUAGCCGACCUGAGAGGGUGACCGGCCACAUUGGGACUGAGACACGGCCCAG
This 240-nucleotide ribosomal RNA is filed under the name uncultured bacterium. RNAcentral's name for it is "partial 16S ribosomal RNA". It matches the Rfam family "Bacterial small subunit ribosomal RNA", at positions 94 to 334 of the family's 1533-position model. The record is from RNAcentral.